CCCUGCCUGGGAAUAGCGAAGUCUGGAAAGUUGGCAGGGUCUCUCUGGGCUGCCCAGGAAGGUGACCCAGGGUCCUGGGAAGCCAGGUACUGCCAGAAGAGGAUGGCUGGGGCCCAGAGCACAAAGGAAACCAGCCAGGCCAGGCCGAUCAUCAGAGCUGCCCGGCGGGGUGUGCGCUUGGCACGGUAGCUCAGGGGCCGAGUCACGGAGAAGUAGCGGUCAAAGCUGAUGAGCAGCAGAUUCAUGACGGAGGCAUUGCUGGCCACAUAGUCCAGGGCCAGCCAGAGGUCACAAGCCAGCGUGCCCAGAGCCCAGUGGCCCAUGAGCAGUAGGUCCUGCUAUCCCCAGUUUGCAAAAGGCCUAACCUGAGGCUUCAAGACCUGAAGGACCUUACAGCUCAUCAGCGAUGCAACCAGGAUUUGGAUCCAGGCCGUCUGCCUCCGAGACCAACCUCUUGAACCCUACUCCUGCCCUUGAGGGGUUGCGGGGGUUUGCCAGCCUCCUUGCCCACCUCAGCUAGCUUACUCAAGCCCAACUUUGAAUCAGUUAACGAUGAGCAAUCGGUCCUUCUUUCAGAAUCUGGCCUCCUUUGUGUGCGCGGCAGUGUCUGUCGUAUAUCUGUGUGAUGUGUGAUAACAGUGCUGUGGGAAGAGGGUGGGUCUACUGGAGCUCUUUAAAGGGCAGGGUAAGGGCUGCGUCUGUCUCAUUCAAUGCUUUAUCCCAGGGCUUGGCAGAUAGUAGUUGCUCAAUAAAUACCUGUGGAAUAAA
Molecule: non-coding RNA, 768 nt
Organism: Homo sapiens (human)
Lineage: Eukaryota; Metazoa; Chordata; Mammalia; Primates; Hominidae
Source: RefSeq, a predicted model, not a curated record